GCACUGCUGAAGAGUCCCAAACAGGACCAAAUAGCUGUCCAGUGC
Non-coding RNA from Echinostoma caproni, 45 nucleotides. NCBI's taxonomy places the organism in Eukaryota, Metazoa, Platyhelminthes, Trematoda, Plagiorchiida, Echinostomatidae. The record is from Rfam.